GCGGCUCAUCCUCUAGGGCGGAGAGAGGUGGCAUUUGAGUCCUCCGGUAUCCCAGCAGGCAGUGCAGCCUAGAGACGCUGACAAAGGAGCGGAGGAGCAGUCGCAGCUGCUUUCCGAGGAAGCCGGUGUUGCCGAGAUGGAGUCUCACUCUGUCUCCCAGGUUGGAGUGCAGUGGCAUGAUCUCGGCUCACUGCAACCUCCGCCUCCCGGGUUCAAGUGAUUCUCCUGCCUCAGCCUCCCUAGUAGCUGGGAUUACAGAUUGCCAAAAUGCUUUGGAGUUUUUAACUGAAUCUAAGAAAAGUCCAAAAUAGAUUUGAGACUGUAAAAACAGAAACUGCAGCAAGGGGGAUUCAGUGCCAAUGCAUCAACAAAAAAGACAACCAGAGUUAGUGGAAGGAAAUCUUCCUGUUUUCGUGUUCCCCACGGAGCUCAUAUUUUAUGCAGAUGAUCAGUCAACACAUAAGCAAGUGUUGACACUGUACAAUCCCUAUGAGUUUGCCUUAAAGUUCAAAGUUUUGUGUACUACUCCAAAUAAGUAUGUUGUCGUUGAUGCUGCAGGUGCAGUAAAGCCUCAGUGUUGUGUGGAUAUUGUGAUUCGUCAUCGAGAUGUUCGAUCCUGUCACUAUGGUGUAAUAGACAAAUUCCGUCUCCAAGUUUCCGAGCAAAGCCAAAGGAAGGCUUUGGGAAGAAAAGAGGUUGUUGCUACUCUUCUCCCAUCAGCAAAAGAACAACAAAAGGAAGAAGAGGAAAAAAGAUUAAAGGAACAUUUAACUGAAAGUUUAUUUUUUGAGCAGUCGUUUCAACCAGGUAUUUCUGCUAUUGUUUCAUUUCAAGCAAUAAUUACUAUAAAAUUUGAAUUUGUUUUCACCUCUCUGGCUCUGAUGAAGUACAGUUAAACUCCACACAACAGCUAAGAAAACAGAGCUGUAUCCUCAGGACCUAGUUUACUAACUGUCUUCCUGGGAGUGGUGUGCAUUGCAGCCCUGAUGCUGCCUACACUGGGGGAUGUGGAAUCGCUGGUGCCUCUCUACCUCCACUUAAGUGUGAAUCAAAAAUUAGUGGCUGCUUAUAUCUUAGGUCUUAUCACAAUGGCCAUACUUAGAACAUGAGCAAGGAUUUCAAUUGACUUCUGAAGUAAAUCUGUCUUGAAAAUAUGAAUGUGGACUGCCUUUUAUCUCUAUUUCACUCCAUUAACAUGCAACAAACUAUUGAAUGAUUUCAAAUAAUUGCAAAUGUAUAAUAUAUAUUUUAAAUUAUAAUUUAAUUUGAAGGACUGCGGAACAUUAUUUUACAGACAGCAAGGAUGCUUCUGAGUGACACCUAGGAAAUUAUUUGAAGAAAUUCUUUUUAUAUCUAUACCUGUUGUGUAAGAAACUUUAAAACAUUUGUUAUUUUCUCACCUUUUUUUCUAAUUCACUUUGAUUGCUAGGGGUCAUGUAUGCUUCGAAGUUACAGGACUAAAAGAGCAAACUGACCGGCCUAAAACUAAAAUGACAUUUCUUCCCUAGCUACAAACAUCAGCGUUAUUAUGUUAAUUAUACCUUGCCCUCUAUCAUUAUAAAUGGUUGCCAUGGUGUUUCUAAAAAUAAGUGUUUUACCAUUAAUGUGUAGAGGGCAAACAAAGCAUAAAGUACUAAGGGAUCAUGCUUAUCCUAGGGUCUCACAGAAGAGAGGACAUAUUUAAUUAAUCUUGUGAAUUACAGAACGGGUUGUGGUCCAGACACCAAGAAUCAUAGGGUUUUUUUAAAAAAACCUAAUAGAAGUAGGGUGACCUCUCUCUUUGGUCUAAGAGUUCUAAAGGAAGGUAGGCAUCUGUUUAAUUAGUUGGUUCACCCUGGCUUUACCUCUGGUUAAUGCUUUGUGUUAAUAGGAAGGAAAAAUCACUUUAUCUUUUCUUCCAAGCCCCUCCCUGCCUGACUUACCUAGACUGGGAUUACCAGAUACCAGGUGAUUUAUGUGGAGAUGAUUUUUCACCUUUAAACUCUAAGCCAAGUGUAAGAAACUCUUGAUAGCUAUGUCUAUUUUAUAUCAGUCACUGAGACUUUUUUUUAAGUUUUUAUUUAUUAUUAAGACAACUUUGCCAAAAAAGUCCCCUAAGCACAACUAUUUACAUUUCUUUAUAGCCUCUUCUGAUCUCUAACACAUAUGCAGUUUUAACUGUUAUUUUCAUAGUAACUGAUCUUUUGUCUAAGGAUUUUUACCUGAAAGCACAAUGUAUUGAGUCUCUUGAAAAUCAUCUUUCAGAUCUUUUUACAGAAUGAACUUAUGCACUGCUACUGUAGUAUUCUCAAGGAAUAUAUGUAAACACAAAUGUAUGCCUGAGGUUGGUUUUUGCAGAAAACAGUCUCUGCUUCUAAAAACUUCUAUGUCUAGUCUUCCAUAGGAAAUCCUCACUGUUUAACCAUGUGAGGAGCCUAAGUCAUUAAACGGAUCAUGUCUGUACAUUGUGUAAUGAAUGAAAAGCACAUAAAUGUAAUCUACUUUGAACUUUGUAAAAAUGAUGUGUGGAGGCUAUUCUUGUUUCUCCAUCUCAAGUCCUGUGUGUGCACGUGUGUGCAAGUGCACGUGUGUGUGUAAUAACACAUUGUAAAGAACAGAAAUUACUUUAAAAAAUAAACAGAAAUGGAGACCUGA
This is an RNA transcript of Pan troglodytes (chimpanzee), 2634 nucleotides long. It is a transcript of the gene named motile sperm domain containing 1, with no coding region annotated. The transcript has 8 exons. The record is from RefSeq and is a predicted model, not a curated record. Lineage: Eukaryota; Metazoa; Chordata; Mammalia; Primates; Hominidae.